UUCAUGCCCUCUGCCGAGUUCUGGCCAGGAGGCUUCUCGAUGAGUUCAAAUUGUUACAAAAUUCAGCUGGAGAUUUCCUUCUCCCUGUGGCCUUUUCCCAGUGCCUCUGGCCGCCCUCCUGAAGAUCUUCUCUGAGAUCAGGCAAAAACGGCUUGGUAUGGGACCCAGCGAGCUUCCAGGGGUUUUCCUGCUGCCACCUCUACCCCUGUAUUAUGCUGGGCUCUCUAAAUUGACUCAGCUCCAGGUUUCUGCAAGAUCCAGGGAAGAAGAGAAGAUACUACUAUGUGGAAGGGUGAAAAUGUGUCUUGAGUUGCAGCUCAACAGGAACAUGAGCUUGCCUUAAGUCAUCUGUGUUUCUCCCACUCCUGGCAUUGUACAGGAGUCAGAGACUAAUUACAGUGGUGAUUAUAAAGUUAAUGAAGUUGAAAAAUUCACGUAAAUAAUUAUGUCGGAAUGAAUGGGAUAAAGAAUGUGACAUACAAGACAUAAUGACUAAUUGGACACUGAAAGAGCUGAUUUUGUGGACAUUCCUUCAUGAAAAAGAGUUCAGUGAGAGAAACAACGAAGUAUCAAUCACUUGACCUGAAAUAAUGAUGGGUCUGGCAAACAAGAAAGUAAAACAUAAAGAGGGUUUAGAAGACAACUGGAUAAUAAGCAGAUUCUUUGAGAUGACACAAAGAGCAAACCCUUCAUCAAUGACGUGCAGCUUGUGGAUUUGGAUGACACGGUUCUUUAAAAGAAGCACACUGC
This is a long non-coding RNA of Gorilla gorilla gorilla (western lowland gorilla), 750 nucleotides long. RefSeq lists it as uncharacterized. Lineage: Eukaryota; Metazoa; Chordata; Mammalia; Primates; Hominidae. The transcript has 3 exons. The record is from RefSeq and is a predicted model, not a curated record.